GGCGGCGCGCUUAACACAUGCAAGUCGUACGCUCCUGUUCCCUUCGGGGGGCGGGGGAGUGGCGGACGGGUGCGUAACACGUGAGCGACCUGCCCGGGUGCGGGGGACAACCGGCCGAAAGGCCGGCUAAUACCGCAUGCGCUCCCUCCUGUUGGGGGGGGAGGAAAGGCCCUGAUGAGGGGCCGCGCCCGGAGGGGCUCGCGGGCUAUCAGCUAGUUGGUGCGGGUAACGGCCCACCAAGGCAGCGACGGCUAGGGGGUCUGAGAGGAUGGCCCCCCACAUUGGGACUGAGAUACGGCCCAGACUCCUACGGGAGGCAGCAGUGGGGAAUCUUGCGCAAUGGCCGCAAGGCUGACGCAGCGACGCCGCGUGCGGGAGGACGCCCUUCGGGGUGUAAACCGCUGUCGCCCGGGACGAAUCUCCAGGGGAGGCAAUGCCCCUGGGCUGACGGUACCGGGAGAGGAAGCACCGGCUAACUCCGUGCCAGCAGCCGCGGUAAUACGGAGGGUGCGAGCGUUGUUCGGAAUCAUUGGGCGUAAAGCGCGCGCGGGCGGCCCGCUAAGUCCGGCUGUGAAAGACCGGGGCUCAACCCCGGGGCGGCAGGGGAGACUGGCGGGCUGGGGACACGCAGGGGCAGGCGGAAUUCCGGGUGUAGCGGUGGAAUGCGUAGAGAUCCGGAAGAACACCGGCGGCGAAGGCGGCCUGCUGGGCGUGGUCCGACGCUGAGGCGCGAAAGCGUGGGGAGCGAACAGGAUUAGAUACCCUGGUAGUCCACGCCGUAAACGAUGGGCACUGGGUGCCGGGGGGACCGACCCCUUCGGUGCCGUAGCUAACGCGAUAAGUGCCCCGCCUGGGGAGUACGGCCGCAAGGCUGAAACUCAAAUGAAUUGACGGGG
RNAcentral lists this ribosomal RNA (896 nucleotides) under uncultured Gemmatimonadota bacterium. RNAcentral's name for it is "bacterial SSU rRNA". It matches the Rfam family "Bacterial small subunit ribosomal RNA", at positions 38 to 918 of the family's 1533-position model. Lineage: Bacteria; Pseudomonadati; Gemmatimonadota. The record is from RNAcentral.